RNAcentral lists this ribosomal RNA (329 nucleotides) under Neocallimastigales sp. Its description in RNAcentral is "partial large subunit ribosomal RNA". The record is from RNAcentral. Lineage: Eukaryota; Fungi; Neocallimastigomycota; Neocallimastigomycetes; Neocallimastigales.
UGUUGUUUUCUCGAAAAUCAAUUAAAAAAGGCAGGAUUUUGUGUUGUAUUGACUUUAUCAGCUUUCUGCACUCUUUUCUUGUCUUUUUUAAUGCACUUUUCGUUUAACAAGUCAACAUCAAUUUCUUUUGUUGUAAAAGGGUCAUUGGAAGGUGGCUUUCUUUUCGGAGAAAGUGUUUACAGCCUUUGGCCUCUGCAAUCGGAGAGAUUGAGGUCUGCAGCGUAGAUCCUUCGGGGUUAGAUACAUUUGUGCUAAGUUAUAGCCUUUCAUAGACAACUUGUUGACUAUGAUCAGUCAUGUAGCUUACUCGCUUAUGCUAUUUUACCUAC